CGGAGCGGCUCAGGUGAUCGCUCGCUUUUUUUUAAAAGCGGGAGGAAAGUCCGAGCUUCACAGGGCAGAAUGUCAGCUAACGGCUGGUGGGGGCAACCCCGAGGAAAGUGCAACAGAAAGUAAACCGCCACGCCGCUUUCGACGGCGUCGAAGGCCGCGUGGUAAGGGUGAAACGGCGAGGUAAGAGCUCACCGGAUCGGCGGUAACGUCGAUCGCACGGCAAACCCCAUUCGAAGCAAGACGAAAUAGAAAGGCGUUUGAGAAUGGCCCGUUCGAGCCUUUGGGUUGCGUCGCUUGAGGCGUGUAGCGAUACACGUCCUAGAGGAAUGAUCACCGCUCAUCGUCCGGCAACAGAGAUGAGAACAGAACUCGGCUUAUGAGCUCUCCGGCCG
Molecule: RNase P RNA, 392 nt
Filed under: Deltaproteobacteria bacterium
Lineage: Bacteria; Pseudomonadati; Myxococcota; Myxococcia
Description: RNase P RNA component class A
Rfam family: Bacterial RNase P class A
About the family: Ribonuclease P (RNase P) is a ubiquitous endoribonuclease, found in archaea, bacteria and eukarya as well as chloroplasts and mitochondria. Its best characterised activity is the generation of mature 5'-ends of tRNAs by cleaving the 5'-leader elements of precursor-tRNAs.
Source: RNAcentral